GUAAUAUUUAUUAAAAAAAAAUUGCCCACGUAAUAUUUUUAUUUGGUAUAGGUUACUUAAAUUAAUUGGCAAAAGUUUUCUGAUUAUCUGAUAGUGAGAUUUCUCAUGCAAAUGAAUGACGGUAUUGAAGAACACAACCCGCCAAAAAAGAACACUCGUGAGUUGUCGAUAGCUCUGAUUUUACCGACCAAAACCGGAGAAACCUCCACCACUCAUUUACCAUUUUUCACGGGGUUGGCCCGCCUUUCUCGCCAUUUUUCUUGAAACAAUUCAGUUCAAUUAAUCUUUAGAAUAUUCUUAAUGUUGAGGAUUUUGUCAUAUUAGCACUUGUAGAUCCUCUCUCUUCUUUUUAUUUGGUUACUAUUGAUUUUCUCUUUAUAUGAGUGGAAGACGAUAUUAUUUUUUCAACACUUUAUCUAAAUCUUACUAAUCUAUAGAAUAAAAUCUACAAAAGUUCCACCAAUUUAUGUAAGAUAAAGCUUAUAUACUCCAAAUACGAAGACAUACACGUAUUAGAUAUCGAUAUUUCAAAGUAUUAGAUGUGAAAGUAAAAAGAGAGAAGAUUCAAUUAAUCAAUAUUAAACAAAAUUUAUGUUGAAUUCUUUUAAUAAUAAUUAUGUUGAUAUCUUAAUACAUGAAUGAUAAUAUAAUAUAAUUUAUUCAAUUUUUUUUUAAAAUUGUGACUUUUAUAAAGUAAUAAAUGUUUAUUUUUCUUCAAGUAUUUACAUCUAUAUAAGUUUUAGUAUAAAUUUUUUGUUAACGUAUCUUAGUUGUAUCAUAUCCUAAAUUUUAAAAUUUUUGCAUAUCCUCAUACCCGUAUCGUAUCCACACCUGUACCACAUAUAUGUGCUUCAUAGUGUAAGAUAUUAUAGGGUUCACAUUGAUUUUAUCCAAUAAAUUAGUGGAUGUUAGUGACAUUGAAAAAAAUAGUGUUUCUAGCACUCCUCAUAAUACAAAACUUAGUUAAUAAAGAAUUGAUUCAUCCACAAAAAUUUUGGUUCAACUCCAGUUGUCGAUGUGAUGACCUCUUU
RNAcentral lists this long non-coding RNA (1031 nucleotides) under Medicago truncatula (barrel medic). RNAcentral's name for it is "long non-coding RNA (MTRU_LNC008124)". Lineage: Eukaryota; Viridiplantae; Streptophyta; Magnoliopsida; Fabales; Fabaceae. The record is from RNAcentral.